This is a long non-coding RNA of Leucoraja erinaceus (little skate), 1183 nucleotides long. RefSeq lists it as uncharacterized. NCBI's taxonomy places the organism in Eukaryota, Metazoa, Chordata, Chondrichthyes, Rajiformes, Rajidae. The record is from RefSeq and is a predicted model, not a curated record. The transcript is spliced from 2 exons.
GAAGAUAUGGACACAAAAUGCUGGAGUAACUCAGCGGGUCAGACAGCAUCUCUGGAGAAAAGGAAUAGGUGACGUUUCGAGACCCUUCUUCAGUGUUGAACUGCCAGGACUUACCAACGCGAGGCUGGCCGACUUCGGGGCUGUGGUUGCGGUACGACCCAACUUCCGACCCGACUUUGGAGCCUCGGAGGCUCGGCCGUGGGCCAGUGGACGACAUCAUCGGGAGCUCGAGUUCUGUUUUCCGGAGCUCCCGCAACUACAGCUGCGUCCGCUGGACUGGAGGACGGCAGCUUCGACCGCCCCGGGCCGCGGAGUUUGAACUGGCCCGUUUGCGGAGCACGGAUUCAGCCGCGGGACUUACCUACCAUCACCCGGCGGGGUCACAACAUCGGAGGCUUGGAUUGCCUCAGCGCAGAGGGAGAGCAAGGAGGGAAGAGACAAUGACUUUGGGACUUAAACUGUGUUGAGUGUUUGUUAUUUAUUCUAUGUUAUGACUGCAGGCUAAACCAUUUUGUUGUACUGAAAAGUGCAAUGACAAUAAAUUGAAUCAAAUCAAAUCUAAAAAGUUUCAGAGGUGAUAAAUCUGGCUGUAAAAUUUUAAAAUCGCCCAGGGUUCUCAAGUCGGGUUUUACAUACAAAAAGAAAACGCCUCUGAAGAAAAAAUUACAGCCAGAUUUAUCACUUCUGAGACUUUUUAGAUACCAAAGGAAUCAAGAAAAACCACAAAUAAUGCCUUACUGUUGAUGAAAAGCAGUGAGCAAACGCGAUAAUUCACAAUAUUUUCAAUUCCGAUAUCUACACGGCCAAUGUUCGCCAAGCACUUUAGCUGCUGUUGCCCCUUCAGCUCUCGCUUCUCUUUACCUUAAUUUCGCUACACUUUUGGAAUUCUGAAGUUGGGUAAAUGUCUCUCACACUUACCCCGACUUCCACAAUUUUUUACAGCGCAAAAAUUCAACAUUUUGGCGUUUUUUAACAGGUAGGAAAGUACGCGUUUCUUGCAUUAAUAACAUAUACCAGAAGUUACGGAUGUCCUCCAGAUAGAUUGAGCGGCUCCAUGCGUCAAGCCCUAUGACCCAGUGACCUUACGUGCAACCCCCCAAUACUGGUCAGUCUUGGAAACGGUAACGAUGAACUAACAACCUGCUAUACUAUGGAUACUGAUUAAAGAUGAUCUUGAACUCCA